This 396-nucleotide ribosomal RNA is filed under the name uncultured bacterium. RNAcentral describes it as "bacterial SSU rRNA". It matches the Rfam family "Bacterial small subunit ribosomal RNA", at positions 29 to 442 of the family's 1533-position model. The record is from RNAcentral.
AACGAACGCUGGCGGCAGGCCUAACACAUGCAAGUCGAACGUGAAGCCAGAGCUUGCUCUGGUGGAAAGUGGCAGACGGGUGAGUAACGCGUGGGAAAUUACCCAGUAGUACGGAACAACAGUUGGAAACGACUGCUAAUACCGUAUACGCCCCAAGGGGGAAAGAUUUAUCGCUAUUGGAUAUGCCCGCGUCGGAUUAGCUUGUUGGUGAGGUAACGGCUCACCAAGGCGACGAUCCGUAGCUGGUCUGAGAGGAUGAUCAGCCACACUGGGACUGAGACACGGCCCAGACUCCUACGGGAGCAGCAGUGGGAAUAUUGCACAAUGGGCGCAAGCCUGAUGCAGCCAUGCCGCGUGAGUGAUGAAGGCCCUAGGGUUGUAAAGCUCUUUCACCGG